CCAUCAAAGCUGACUACCUGCCUGCAAUUUAUCUGAUUUGACUUUUGGGAAUUCCUUUCCCCGCCUUUUUGUUUCUUUCCCUUUUUCUACAAUAUUCUUUCUGUAUGGUGCAGGCUGAGACGCUUGUAUACAAAAAUGAUAGUAGAAUCAAAUUAUAUUCCUUUGUGCAUUAUCUAUGUAAUUUGUUUUUGUAAUUUUCCCUCUCAACCCAUAUUGUUUCUGUUUGCAAACAUUCCCUUUUGUUUUGCUUUCUCAAAUGAGUUAAAGAUGUUUUAGUCAGUAUGUGGUCAGAACUCUUUAAUGUAUUGUGUAUUGUAAAACAAAAGGGUAU
Molecule: unclassified non-coding RNA, 331 nt
Filed under: Hevea brasiliensis (rubber tree)
Lineage: Eukaryota; Viridiplantae; Streptophyta; Magnoliopsida; Malpighiales; Euphorbiaceae
Source: RNAcentral